UGAGAUAGAGGUUGCGCGGGUCAUCAGUACACUGCCGGAUGCAGCGGCUGCAGGAGAUGUCAGUGGAAAGGGAGACGCGCCGAAGGAGCCGCCCGGCCGCAGGCGCGGGUCCUGGGGCCGGGCCGAACAGGUCCGGAACUGUCAUCGGCAGAUGGAGCGCUAUCCGG
This 167-nucleotide non-coding RNA is filed under the name uncultured Eubacterium sp. RNAcentral describes it as "Lysine riboswitch". It matches the Rfam family "Lysine riboswitch aptamer". From Rfam's summary of the family: Riboswitches are metabolite binding domains within certain messenger RNAs that serve as precision sensors for their corresponding targets. Allosteric rearrangement of mRNA structure is mediated by ligand binding, and this results in modulation of gene expression. This family includes riboswitches that sense lysine in a number of genes involved in lysine metabolism, including lysC. Lineage: Bacteria; Bacillati; Bacillota; Clostridia; Eubacteriales; Eubacteriaceae. The record is from RNAcentral.